RNAcentral lists this ribosomal RNA (440 nucleotides) under uncultured bacterium. RNAcentral describes it as "partial 16S ribosomal RNA". It matches the Rfam family "Bacterial small subunit ribosomal RNA", at positions 338 to 795 of the family's 1533-position model. The record is from RNAcentral.
CCUACGGGUGGCAGCAGUGGGGGAUAUUGCACAAUGGGGGGAACCCUGAUGCAGCGACGCCGCGUGGGUGAAGAAGCGCCUCGGCGCGUAAAGCCCUGUCAGCAGGGAAGAAAAUGACGGUACCAGAAGCAGAAGCCUCGGCCAACUACGGGCCAGCAGCCGCGGGAAUACGGAGGGGGCAAGCGGUAACCGGAUUUACGGGGGGAAAAGUGGGCGGAGACGGCGAUGCAAGCCGGGAGUGAAAGCCCUGGGCCCAACCCCGGGACGGCUCUUGGAACUGGGUGGCUGGAGUGCAGGAGGGGCGGGCGGAAUUCCAGGUGUAGCGGUGAAAUGCGUAGAGAUCAGGAGGAACACCGGUGGCGAAGGCGGCCUGCUGGACUAAGACUGACGUUGAGGCGCGAAAGCGUGGGGAGCAAACAGGAUUAGAUACCCGGGUAGUC